UACAGAGGUCCCGAGCGUUGUUCGGAUUCACUGGGCGUAAAGGGUGCGCAGGUGGGUUGGCAAGUUUGAUGUGAAAGCCCCGGGCUUAACCCGGGAAUGGCAUUGAAUACUGCUGAUCUGGAGGAUCGGAGGGGGGACUGGAAUUCUUGGUGUAGCAGUGAAAUGCGUAGAUAUCAAGAGGAACCCCAGUGGCGAAGGCGAGUCCCUGGACGAUAACUGACACUGAGGCACGAAAGCCAAGGGAGCAAACAGG
Molecule: ribosomal RNA, 253 nt
Filed under: uncultured bacterium
Lineage: Bacteria
Description: partial 16S ribosomal RNA
Rfam family: Bacterial small subunit ribosomal RNA
Source: RNAcentral